CCCUUAGAUGUUCUGGGCUGCACGCGCGCUACACUGACGUACGCAACGAGUGUCCUUUACCGAGAGGUAUGGGUAAUCAUUUGAGUGUACGUCGUGAUGGGGAUAGAAUAUUGUAAUUAUUACUCUUCAACGAGGAAUUCCUAGUAAGCGCAAGUCAGCAGCUUGCGCUGAUUACGUCCCUGCCCCUUGUACACACCGCCCGUCGCUCCUACCGAUGGGUGAUCCGGUGAAUGAUUCGGACUCGGUUGCCUCUAGCCACUAGUGGCGCUCGAGAAAGUUUUGUGAACCUUAUCACUUGGAGGAAGGAGAAGUCGUAACA
RNAcentral lists this ribosomal RNA (319 nucleotides) under uncultured eukaryote. Its description in RNAcentral is "partial 18S ribosomal RNA". It matches the Rfam family "Eukaryotic small subunit ribosomal RNA", at positions 1470 to 1796 of the family's 1831-position model. The record is from RNAcentral.